RNAcentral lists this long non-coding RNA (3897 nucleotides) under Sus scrofa (pig). RNAcentral's name for it is "lncRNA (ENSSSCG00025024666.1)". The record is from RNAcentral. Lineage: Eukaryota; Metazoa; Chordata; Mammalia; Artiodactyla; Suidae.
CGUUUUGGCUUUUUGUCUUUUCAGGUCAGGGCUGCACCUGUGGCAUAUGGAGGUUCCUAGGCGAGGGGUCUAAUCAGAGGUAUUGCUGCCGGCCUACGCCAGAGCCACAGCAACACGAGAUCCUAGUCGCAUCUAUGACCUAGCUCACCGCAACGCCGGAUCCUUAACCCACUGAGUGAGGCCAGGGAUCGAACCCGCAACCUCAUGGUUCCUAGUCCAAUUCAUUGCCACAACGGGAACGCAGAUUAAUGCAAUUCUACACAGAUAAAAAUUUUAAAUAGGCAAGGAAGAAAUUAGGUUCUCAUUGCUCCUGGCAGUUAUGUUCUAUUCAGAUGCCACAAACACCGAAUGAGUGAAUACUGACCAUGGCUCCUAAAGGGAGCACAGGAUGGGGUUCCUACAAGCUUCUGGUCACAAGAUUUUCAUCAAUCAAUCAGUGCCUAGCCUUGUUUUAUUUGUUUCUGGUAUAUAUAUAUAUAUUUGUUUUAUAUGUGUUUCUGGUGUGUGUGUGUGUGUGUCACACCCCUCCUGCCCAGAAGAACACGAGACACCCCAUCGGCACCCCGCUUUUAAAUAGUGAAAUCACCCACAAACAGCGUAAGAAAGCAAAAGGCACUAAACAGACCACGAAGAGGGUGCUUGUUUACAGAAUUAGAGCUAAAGCGAGAAGGCAGGGCCUGGCCGUCUGCGCUGAGAACAUGCCCACUGGGUGACAGACUGUUCACAGCUCUGCAUGUCCCUGAGCAACCACGAAAGCAUCCCAGUACCGACAUGGGAGAUGACAAGUCAGUUUUAGCGAGCGGACUAGUAAGACGGCAGAAUCGAUGCAUUACGUUCUCAUGGCUUAUUUAUGUUAUAACUAGAAGUUUGUGUGCAGCCUAGGGAAUGCAGUCAAUAUUAUUGUCAUAUGGUGACAGACGGUAGCCAGACUUGUUGCGGUGACCAUUUUGAAAUGUGUAUAAAUAUUGAAUCACUAUGACGGUCACCUGAAGCGAAUACGACUGUUUGUGUCAACUAGACUUCAGUUUAAAAAAGACCGGCAGAACGAUCAUCACCACCAAAUCUGAUAGCAAAAUUCAUUGAGUCAUAAAAAAAAAAAGAGUAGCAGAACCUGAGAAAGUACAUUCAACAUUCAAAUAUCUGCGACGUCCCAAAAGAUAGCCCCAUAAUGCUGACUGAUACGCAGGGGGCUCAAAUGCAGAGCAAGGAAAAGCAGAAUCGGAAGCCAUCACCGCCUUGGCCUCCUUUUCCCCAGAGGACGGGGGAGGCUUCCAGUCUGGAGAAGGGUUUGCUUCCGUUGGUCCAUCUGGGCUGUCUUUUCCUUGCCGUUCAAGGACUCCUAGGGAGGUACAAGUCUCAGGGUUUCUCGCUGAUGAAUAAUUCAGAGAAAAGACUGUAUCUUUAUUUUUGUUAUGUGUUUUCAUCCCAGAUUCCCUUACGUCAAGAGAAUGUAGUCUGUUCAUUCACAUCCACUGUCUCAUUCAUGAGGUUAUGUUUAGAUGCCUCAGCAAAUUCUACAAUUCACAUCGUAAAGGAAACCGAAUAUUAAUGAACGAUUGCUGCAUUUUAACUAAAGUGAUGGUGGAUCAAAUCCAAGGAAAUCUAUGCUCGACAGCUCUCGGUACAACAUAGCAGUAAUAUUCUCAGAUUUGCAUAUAGGGGUGUAUCACUUUCAGCCGAGGAGAGCCUCCCGAAACGGAAACCCUGGAAUGCAUGAUUUUGUGACUCUGAUCCUCUGAUUUGAUCUUCAGUUUGACACGGGACCACCGGGGAAGGCCCACCACCUGCCUCACUCUCGCCCCUCUGUUGGGGUCUCGUCCAAUGCCUCCAUCAUGAGCACCUGUCACGGGAGCUCUGAUUCUCCAGAAUGUUCCUUUACUGUGCCGUUGAUUUACACAUACUUGCAGAGGCUCCGUCACCCCCUGAGUGAAAGGCCUCAGGAGUGGACCAGAGCUGACCAGUUGACAAGACCAUGUGUUUAACCUCGAAAAGUGAGAGCAGGGAAAACAAAUUGUAUUUAAAAUUUGCAAUCCUUACUAGAAAUGGAGCUUUUCGGGCUACGGGUCUUUUUAAAACUUUUGGAGCGGCUCUUCACACAAAUUGAAAGCAAUUUGGGCGGGGGGUGAGGGAUUUAAUAAAGCUACCUGAACACACGACUUAGGAACAAAAUGCCACAUUUGAUGACUAAAUUGUUGCUGAGUCUGUCAGUUUUGUGGUUCCCUUUUGCUGGAUGAAACGAAGAGCUGUAUUCCUAGGGCAGAAUUUGUGAUGGAGGCUUAUGCCGCUGCUUCUGAUUGCUGGUGAUGUUUUUGUGGUUUUGCCUUAGAGAUUUCGAGAGCUGCGGUUAAAGAUGAGCAGAUGGGAGCAUCCAAAGGCUCACGUUCCGAGGCCGUGUAAGUCUCCUCACUGCAAAGUCAGGAUGAGGUCGGGAACUCGGAUUUGCAGAGAGCGCUGCUCUCUGCACGCCUGCCCCAAAGUCGGCGUUAACGCUCUCGCGAGAGAAGGCUGGAGAGCCUGUUCUCCUGAUGAGAGAGGAAGGAAGACGGGACUCCAAGCAUCUUAUCUGAAAUCUCCUGGAAAUUAAAGCCACUGGUCUCGGCUACCUGAGAGCCCCCACUUCCUCAGGGUUUUACAUGAAAUAAGACCUGACAGCUUCUAUUGGGCACUGUCACUAAAACAGCAGCUCCUGACUCUGCCCUAUUAUGUGGUCUACAAAUAACACUGAUCAGGGAUUUUGAAGCAAUAACCAGUCUUCAUGAGUCUUCGGAAAAGGCUGGAGGAAGCCCGUUCAGACCUCCUAUUAAAUCUCACAGAGCAAUGACCUUUCCCGUCUUUCAUCUACAGCUGAAGAGCUCCUUUUAAUUUUCCACCACUUUAAAAGUAAUUUUAAAGUCCCAGCUGUGAGGCAUGUUUGUGACUUCUUCAUGGCUAUCGCAAAAUCUCUUGCCACUUAGAAAUACAACUGAGUGCAUUUCUUUUAACCUCAAGCAAGUUAUACUCAUUUUUCCCCCUCUGGCCAACAGGAUGUACUCGCUUUACUUGGAUACACGAUAAUAUACUGCCUACAGGUAUUACAUUAUAUUAUAUAUAAUAAAGAUACACUUUCAAAGCUCCUUUUUUUCAGUUGUAUAAACUGCAUCUUUAUCUUUCCAACUUUUAACUGUUUUUCUUUCGGUUAAACCGGUAAGCUAGUCUGGCAGAGACAUGUGGAAUGGUGAGAGAGAGGGUGGUGCGUGGUGAGGGAGUUUUCUUACAGUCUUCCUCUUGCAAAGUUAGUAUCUUAUUAGUAUUUAAAAUCUAAUACACUCAUGAGUGCGGACAUUGUAUUCCAGAACCUUCACAGCACAAACAUACAAAUACUUGAAUUUUUACAUAUAUUUCAAUUGCUGGCUGCAAAUAGUUCAACAGCCACUGAGGUUGUAUAGCCAUUUGUUAGAACCAUGCAGAGAACAGCACAACCUCUUUUUCUAAGGUCAAGUUGGCAUAACUCACUACACACCAUCAACCUACCAGGCCUCAUGCGCCUCUACUGUAUUAAUGCACUUGAACAUGAAUCUCACGGAACAGAAAACUGGGUAGAGCACUAUUGGUAGCGGGGUUGUUGUUGUUUUUUGUCUUUCUUUUUUUUCUUAUUGUGAAACUAUCCUGAAAAUAAUCCAUUGAUAAACAGGUUUACAUUUUUUCCCAACAGCCUCAUUCAAGCAAGACUCUUCUGAAUGGAAACCAUGUUAGGUGUAUAAUUGAGCUUGAUUUGUCUCCCAGUCAUUUUCUGUCCCCUUAUUCUGUUUGACAAAGACAACAGAAUCCACAUACGAAAGUCAGAAUACCCUUUGGAAUGUCUGUUUCUAAUGCAUAUUAAUAUCGUCAAGCACAAUGAUCAACGAAAGGAAACCAGUG